This 497-nucleotide ribosomal RNA is filed under the name uncultured bacterium. RNAcentral describes it as "partial 16S ribosomal RNA". It matches the Rfam family "Bacterial small subunit ribosomal RNA", at positions 28 to 507 of the family's 1533-position model. The record is from RNAcentral.
GAUGAACGCUGGCGGCGUGCCUAAUACAUGCAAGUCGAGCGAACAGGCGAGGAGCUUGCUCCUCUGACGUUAGCGGCGGACGGGUGAGUAACACGUGGAUAACCUACCUAUAAGACUGGGAUAACUUCGGGAAACCGGAGCUAAUACCGGAUAAUAUAUUGAACCGCAUGGUUCAAUAGUGAAAGACGGUUUUGCUGUCACUUAUAGAUGGAUCCGCGCCGCAUUAGCUAGUUGGUAAGGUAACGGCUUACCAAGGCAACGAUGCGUAGCCGACCUGAGAGGGUGAUCGGCCACACUGGAACUGAGACACGGUCCAGACUCCUACGGGAGGCAGCAGUAGGGAAUCUUCCGCAAUGGGCGAAAGCCUGAUGGAGCAACGCCGCGUGAAUGAUGAAGGUCUUCGGAUCGUAAAACUCUGUUAUUAGGGAAGAACAAAUGUGUAAGUAACUAUGCACGUCUUGACGGUACCUAAUCAGAAAGCCACGGCUAACUACGUG